Molecule: ribosomal RNA, 329 nt
Filed under: uncultured eukaryote
Lineage: Eukaryota
Description: partial 18S ribosomal RNA
Rfam family: Eukaryotic small subunit ribosomal RNA
Source: RNAcentral
CCCUUAGAUGUUCUGGGCCGCACGCGCGCUACACUGAUGCAUUCAACGAGUCUAAAACCUGCUCUGAUAGGGGUGGGUAAUCUUUUGAAUGUGCAUCGUGAUUGGGAUAGAUGAUUGCAAUUUUUCAUCUUCAACGAGGAAUGCCUAGUAAACGCAAGUCAUCAGCUUGCAUUGAUUACGUCCCUGCCCUUUGUACACACCGCCCGUCGCUCCUACCGAUUGAAUGAUCCGAUGAAUAUUAUGGAUUGAGGAUGCAAGUAGGUUCGCCUAUCUUCAUCUUCGAGAAGUGAAGUAAAUCUUAUCAUUUAGAGGAAGGAGAAGUCGUAACA